Non-coding RNA from Ceratotherium simum simum (southern white rhinoceros), 98 nucleotides. The record is from RefSeq and is a predicted model, not a curated record. NCBI's taxonomy places the organism in Eukaryota, Metazoa, Chordata, Mammalia, Perissodactyla, Rhinocerotidae.
CUGAGAAUGCUCAGUGCUUUUUUGAAAUAGCUAGUCUUUCCAGAUGCUCUGAAGUGCCUGAUAUAUGUUAAAAGUAGAGGUAGUAAAAUAUCACAUUU